This 1058-nucleotide ribosomal RNA is filed under the name uncultured bacterium. RNAcentral's name for it is "bacterial SSU rRNA". It matches the Rfam family "Bacterial small subunit ribosomal RNA", at positions 338 to 1398 of the family's 1533-position model. The record is from RNAcentral.
CCUACGGGGGGCAGCAGUGAGGAAUAUUGGGCAAUGGAGGCAGCUCUGACCCAGCCAUCCCGCGUGCAGGAUGACGGCCCUAUGGGUUGUAAACUGCUUUUCUACGCCAAGAAACCUACUUACGUGUAAGUAGCUGACGGUAGCGUAGGAAUAAGCACCGGCUAACUCCGUGCCAGCAGCCGCGGUAAUACGGAGGGUGCAAGCGUUAUCCGGAUUUAUUGGGUUUAAAGGGUGCGCAGGCGGAAAAAUAAGUCAGUGGUGAAAUACUGCCGCUCAACGGUAGGGCUGCCAUUGAUACUGUUUUUCUUGAGUAUGGUUGAGGUAAGCGGAAUGUGCGGUGUAGCGGUGAAAUGCAUAGAUAUCGCACAGAACGCCGAUUGCGAAGGCAGCUUACUAAGCCAUUACUGACGCUGAGGCACGAAAGCGUGGGUAGCGAACAGGAUUAGAUACCCUGGUAGUCCACGCCGUAAACGAUGUUCACUCGCUGUUUGCGAUACACAGCAAGCGGCUGAGCGAAAGCAUUAAGUGAACCACCUGGGGAGUACGACCGCAAGGUUGAAACUCAAAGGAAUUGACGGGGGCCCGCACAAGCGGUGGAACAUGUGGUUUAAUUCGAUGAUACGCGAGGAACCUUACCUGGGCUUAAAUGCAGGUUGCAUUUGCGCGAAAGCGUGAUUCCCUUCGGGGCUACUUGCAAGGUGCUGCAUGGUUGUCGUCAGCUCGUGCCGUGAGGUGUCGGGUUAAGUCCCAUAACGAGCGCAACCCUUACCGUUAGUUGCCAUCGGGUCAAGCCGGGGACUCUAGCGGGACUGCCACCGUAAGGUGAGAGGAAGGUGGGGAUGACGUCAAAUCAGCACGGCCCUUAUGCCCAGGGCUACACACGUGUUACAAUGGCCGGUACAAAGGGCAGCUACUGCGUAAGCAGGUGCGAAUCCUUAAGCCGGUCCCAGUUCGGAUCGGAGUCUGCAACCCGACUCCGUGAAGUUGGAAUCGCUAGUAAUCGGAUAUCAGCAACGAUCCGGUGAAUACGUUCCCGGGCCUUGUACACACCGCCCGUC